CCCGCCCCGCGCCUCCGCCGUCCCGUUUCGCCCACGCGGCGGAACGCCCAUCAGACAUGGACGACUCGCGCCACACGCUCCGUUAAAAAAAAAAAGCUUCUCUCCCAGCUCCCUCCCUCCCUCCCCGCGGCCUCGCUUUCCUCUCCUGUCCUCGGCAGCCUCGAGCAGCACCGUGCCGUGCGCGCGGCGAGAUGGCGUGCGCGGCCCCACCCAGCCUGGUCUCCCUGCCCGCGCGCCGCCGCAGCGCGACUGCCGCCGCGGCCGCCUACUACCACGCCCCCUCUACCCGGCUCUCGAAGCGUUCGUGGCUCUCCUCUGGAAACUCGCCCCGCUCUCGGCUGCGGGCCGAGGCCUCCAAGGCCGAGCCGGCCGAGGAGAGCCUUCCCGCCGCGCCGGGCCCGUCUGCCCCGUCGGAGCCCCUGCCCCAGGCACGUACCAGUACAUGGAAUUGGAAGGGCUAUAACAUUCGUUAUCAGUGCGCCGGAACGUCUGGCCCUGCACUGGUUCUAAUUCAUGGUUUCGGGGCAAACAGUGACCAUUGGCGGAAAAAUAUUCCUGUUCUUGCCAUGGCAAAUAGAGUUUAUGCAAUUGAUCUAAUUGGCUAUGGGUAUUCUGAUAAACCUAAUCCACGUGAGUUCGAAGAGAGCUUUUAUACUUUUGAGACUUGGGGAGAACAGUUGAAUACAUUUUGUGCUGAAGUUGUCAAGAGUGAUGCUUUCUUCAUAUGCAAUUCAAUUGGAGGGCUUGUUGGUCUGCAGGCAGCUGUUAUGGAACCCCAAACAUGCAAAGGUAUUGUUUUAUUGGAUAUUUCAUUAAGGAUGCUUCAUAUCAAUAAGCAGCCAUGGUUUGGAAGGCCUUUCAUCAGAUCAUUUCAAAAUCUCCUAAGGUAACUCACAUUUUAUGCUUUCUCGUUAUCUUGGUUUGCACUGGUAGUUUGGUAUAGUGCCUUUUCUGAUUGUCAGGAACACUGUUAUUGGGAAGCUCUUCUUUAAUGCUGUUGCAACACCAGAAUCCGUGAAAAAUAUUCUUUGUCAGUGUUACCAUGACACAUCCGCUGUCACAGAUGAAUUGGUUCAGAUGAUCUUGCAGCCAGGGCUUGAUCCCGGUGCUGUGGAUGUAUUCCUUGAGUUCAUCUGCUAUUCUGGAGGUCCUCUACCUGAAGACUUACUUCCCAUGGUGAAGUGUCCAGUUUUGGUAGCUUGGGGAGAGAAGGAUCCAUGGGAGCCUGUGGAACUUGGAAGAGCCUACGGGUCUUUUGAUGCUGUCGAAGAUUUUGUUGUCCUCCCGAAUGUUGGACACUGCCCUCAGGAUGAAGCACCUGAGCUUGUAAAUCCACUUGUUGAAUCAUUUGUUAAGCUCCAUAGUUAGUACGUACAUGGGUAGAUUGUUUCCUAUUUACAUGGGUACAUGGUCAACUCGAGCGAAGAGUUGCUGGAAUAUGGGGAUGCCAAUUUUACUUGAGGAUCACAAACGGUCCAUUCUUUUGUAGGCCGUGAACUUCCAUUUGAGCACUGACAGGAAACACAUUUAUAGCUGAGGUAUGAGACAUGAGGAGGAACUAUCUUAUUUCAUCUUAUUACAGCAGAAGAACCAGUCUCCUCAGAACGGAGAUCAGUAUGAGCAGCACAGGUGUUUUAUUCUGGUCGAAACUGUUGGAGGUUCAUCGAAAGUGAACGCAAGUUCAUAUAUAUGUAUAUAAUUUGGAGAAGUAGUGGCUAAUUUUCGUCCUUGUCUGCAUAGUCAAAGUUACCUAUCUUUUCACUUGAGGUUUCUUUGCAUACAGAAGAAGAGAUUUGAAGUGAUCUACAGUAUCUUAAGUAAAAAGUAUUUUCUCCCCUAGGAAUGCUUGACCAAAAUUUUAAAAUUUUCACUACUAUUACUAUUUUCAAUGCAACACUCUUGGUUGCGCUUUUCUGUAUUGUUCGAGCAGGUUUUAAAAUUCUGGCAUACUUUUUGUUUCACAUACGUGUGUAUCUGCACAGUAUUUGUUUUGUAUUCAGUUCUG
Molecule: ribosomal RNA, 2005 nt
Filed under: Triticum aestivum (bread wheat)
Lineage: Eukaryota; Viridiplantae; Streptophyta; Magnoliopsida; Poales; Poaceae
Description: partial small subunit ribosomal RNA
Source: RNAcentral